Molecule: ribosomal RNA, 253 nt
Filed under: uncultured bacterium
Lineage: Bacteria
Description: partial 16S ribosomal RNA
Rfam family: Bacterial small subunit ribosomal RNA
Source: RNAcentral
CACGUACUGUGCGAACGUUAUUCGGAAUCACUGGGCUUAAAGGGUGCGUAGGCGGCGAUUCAAGUCAGAUGUGAAAUGCCUGAGCUCAACUGAGGCAUUGCGUUUGAAACUGAAUUGCUAGAGUAUUUCAGGGGUGUGCGGAACUGCCAGUGGAGCGGUGAAAUGUGUUGAUAUUGGCAGGAACACCGGAGGCGAAAGCGGCACACUGGGGAAUAACUGACGCUGAGGCACGAAAGCUAGGGGAGCGAACGGG